AUAGCUGCAAUCAGAAUAAAAAAAUCAGUAUAAUUUAGAAAUAAACAAAAAAAAUGAAAGUGAUCAACUAAGAUAUAUCUAAGAAAGUGAUCGAACAAAGAUCGACAUCGUAGAGAGCUUAUUCGGUUAUCAGUUCUCUCUGCUGUGGUACUGUCAUAUCCUUUAGUCCAUAAAAAUCCUCUCGAUUGUCGACCUCCAUCCGACUGUUCUCAUUAAGGCCGGUUUUUAGAUCACCCCAGCAUGAAGGAAAGCCCCAG
RNAcentral lists this long non-coding RNA (257 nucleotides) under Elaeis guineensis (African oil palm). Its description in RNAcentral is "long non-coding RNA (EGUI_LNC019929)". The record is from RNAcentral. Lineage: Eukaryota; Viridiplantae; Streptophyta; Magnoliopsida; Arecales; Arecaceae.